Molecule: ribosomal RNA, 163 nt
Filed under: uncultured bacterium
Lineage: Bacteria
Description: partial 16S ribosomal RNA
Rfam family: Bacterial small subunit ribosomal RNA
Source: RNAcentral
GGAGGCAGCAGUGGGGAAUAUUGCACAAUGGAGGAAACUCUGAUGCAGCGACGCCGCGUGAACGAUGAAGGCUUUCGGGUCGUAAAGUUCUGUCCUAAGGGACGAUAAUGACGGUACCUUAGGAGGAAGCCCCGGCUAACUACGUGCCAGCAGCCGCGGUAAU